Molecule: unclassified non-coding RNA, 253 nt
Filed under: uncultured Cellvibrionales bacterium
Lineage: Bacteria; Pseudomonadati; Pseudomonadota; Gammaproteobacteria; Cellvibrionales
Description: contains 16S-23S intergenic spacer region
Rfam family: Bacterial small subunit ribosomal RNA
Source: RNAcentral
UACGGAGGGUGCAAGCGUUAAUCGGAAUUACUGGGCGUAAAGCGCGCGUAGGCGGCUUGUUAAGCGAGAUGUGAAAGCCCCGGGCUCAACCUGGGAACUGCAUUUCGAACUGGCGGGCUAGAGUGUAGAAGAGGGGUGUGGAAUUUCCGGUGUAGCGGUGAAAUGCGUAGAGAUCGGAAGGAACACCAGUGGCGAAGGCGACACCCUGGUCUAACACUGACGCUGAGGUGCGAAAGCGUGGGGAGCAAACAGG